Molecule: ribosomal RNA, 254 nt
Filed under: uncultured bacterium
Lineage: Bacteria
Description: partial 16S ribosomal RNA
Rfam family: Bacterial small subunit ribosomal RNA
Source: RNAcentral
UACGUAGGGUGCAAGCGUUAAUCGGAAUUACUGGGCGUAAAGCGUGCGCAGGCGGUUUUGUAAGUCUGUCGUGAAAGCCCCGGGCUCAACCUGGGAAUUGCGAUGGAGACUGCAAGGCUUGAAUCUGGCAGAGGGGGGUAGAAUUCCACGUGUAGCAGUGAAAUGCGUAGAGAUGUGGAGGAACACCGAUGGCGAAGGCAGCCCCCUGGGUCAAGAUUGACGCUCGAUGCACGAAAGCGUGGGGAGCAAACAGG